This 82-nucleotide transfer RNA is filed under the name Candidatus Kaiserbacteria bacterium RIFCSPHIGHO2_01_FULL_49_13. RNAcentral's name for it is "tRNA-Leu". It matches the Rfam family "tRNA". Rfam says of the family: Transfer RNA (tRNA) molecules are approximately 80 nucleotides in length. Their secondary structure includes four short double-helical elements and three loops (D, anti-codon, and T loops). The record is from RNAcentral. Lineage: Bacteria; Candidatus Kaiseribacteriota.
GCGGAUGUAGCCGAAUUGGUAUAGGCGCACGGCUUAGAACCGUGUGGGGCAACCCGUGGAGGUUCGAGUCCUCUCAUCCGCA